ACUCAGGGAGGUAGUGACCAGAAAUAACGACGACGGGUUUCGAUCCGUCGAUUGCAAUGAGCACAAGUAAAAUUCUUAGCGAGUACCGACUGGAGGGCAAGUCUGGUGCCAGCAGCCGCGGUAAUUCCAGCUCCAGUAGCGUAUAUUAAAGUUGUUGCAGUUAAAAAGCUCGUAGUUGGACGUCUCUGCGACACGCAGCUCCGCCACGCAACUGGGUUCGUGCUUUAUUGAACGGCCUAGACCUGCGGGCCCUUUACCUUGAGGAAACUAGAGUGUUUAAGGCAGGCUGAGCCUGAAUACUGCAGCUGGGAAUGAUGCGCACGACUGUCUUGGCGAGGCAGCUCCACACUUUUAAUAGGAACAGUUGGGGGCAUUCGUACUCAGCAGUCAGAGGUGAAAUUCUUGGAUUUGCUGAAGACGGACUAGUUCGAAAGCAUUUGCCAAGGAUGUUUUCAUUAAUCAAGAACGAAAGUUAAGGGAUCCAAGACGAUCAGAUACCGUCCUAGUCUUAACCAUAAACGAUGCCGACUAGGGAUCGGGAGAGCCGUACACACUCUCUCGGCACCUCACGAGAAAUCCAAGUCUUUGGGUUCUGGGGGGAGUAUGGUCGCAAGACUGAAACUUAAAGGAAUUGACGGAAGGGCACCACAAGGAGUGGAGCCUGCGGCUUAAUUUGACCCAACACGGGGAAACUUACCAGGUCCAGACAUAGUGAGGAUUGACAGAUUGACAGCUCUUUCUUGAUCCUAUGGGUGGUGGCGCAUGGCCGUUCCUAGUUGGUGGAGUGAUCUGUCUGGUUAAUUCCGAUAACGAACGAGACCUCAGCCUGCUAACUAGAUCUUCUUAGAGGGACUUCCUGCUCGCGUGGGAGGAAGUGAGGCAAUAACAGGUCUGUGAUGCCCUUAGAUGUCCUGGGCCGCACGCGCGCUACACUGACGCAACCUGCCAGUUCCAAGCCUGUCAAGGCCUGGCAAACUGCCAACUGCGUCGUAGUUGGAAUUGACCCUUGCAGUUCUUGGUCAUGAACCAGGAAUUCCUAGUAAGCGCAAGUCAUCAGCUUGCACUGACUAAGUCCCUGCCCUUUGUACACACCGCCCGUCGCUCCUACCGAUUCCGAGUGAUCAGGUGAACCUCUCGGACCCUGGAAGUUAAGUGAACCUUAUCACUUAGA
This 1171-nucleotide ribosomal RNA is filed under the name metagenome. RNAcentral's name for it is "SSU rRNA". It matches the Rfam family "Eukaryotic small subunit ribosomal RNA", at positions 454 to 1777 of the family's 1831-position model. The record is from RNAcentral.